Long non-coding RNA from Mugil cephalus (flathead mullet), 1652 nucleotides. RefSeq lists it as uncharacterized. The record is from RefSeq and is a predicted model, not a curated record. The transcript has 2 exons. Lineage: Eukaryota; Metazoa; Chordata; Actinopteri; Mugiliformes; Mugilidae.
ACACUGCACUAACUGCCACCUAAGCCCCCAUCAAAUGAGCAGCACAAACAUGGAUAGAUGGCGUCCAAACAUCGCGCACAACAUUCGGCCAGACUGCCUCAUCUUAUUAGCAAAAGGCAAAACAGAUUACACACGAAGCCUACAGGGAGUCUGAUCCAUAUUGUUGCGGCUGUGGUGUUUUGAUGUUUUUGAUCUGAAGACAAUCCUGGUGUUAUGUAUCGUUCAUGGUAAAGGAUAUUCUUGUUGUUGUUUUUUAAUAGCGGGCCUGGACCUGGAGAAAAGACACCGCGUGCUCAUGGACAUCUUGGUGUUAUUGGACAUCCCCGCGCACGCACUCGCAUCGAGCCACAGCGCAAGUGAUUACACUUUUGAUGACUUCAGUCGAGCGAUCCGCUGGCGUGGACUUGUUCUGUUCUGUGUUGAUCUGCAAAUUGGAAACGCCAUGCCAUGGAAACUCAGAUUUUCUCGCGGAUUUCUGUAUUUCUACAACGCCCUGUCAAGUGGUGAAUGAUGGGUGUGCAUGUUUGAUGAAGAACUGUGGAACUUCCCUUUUCUCUACGGCCUCUGCCUUACUGCCUCGUAAUGUUAUCACUUCUUCUUUCCACAAAUGGGUUUGUGCACAUACUCUGAAUAACUUCUCAUUUCCCAGGUCAGGUAGAUUUAUUCAACAUGCACACCAGCAGAGACAGGAGACGUAUCAGGCAUGUGCAGCUGUGGCGUGCCUGUGUGAUUCGGAGAGAAACCGAUGAUAAUGCUGUACGUCUGCGGACUAAACAUAUACACAGACAACAUAUUUAUUCAUGAACAUCCCUCUGCACAUUAGUCUUGCGGGCACAUACGGAGAUAAAACAGCAGCGUGCCAUGUAAAAUUUUUAGCUCUGUGCAGCUUUGAUUAAACAGAUAUGAAUGCAUAUGAUAUUCAGGCUCCAUAAUACCGUCAUCAGUCAUUUGUCAUAAUUAUGAGCUAUCUGGAGCCACAUGGUUUGAUAUAAAUGACAAUGAUACAUGUGCCCUCUCCCUGCCGCAGACAGAACGGGAGAAACAGAUGACUGUGAGGGAAAGAGUGCAUCAAAUAUAAAGAUCAAAUGUAUCUCUGUUCACACAACAACAGCAACUCUAUAAAUUAACAGUUUACAUUUGGACAUCUGAGGCUAUUUAUUGAUUUCGAGGGGAAACUGUCGACGGUGUUCGGCAGCUCACGCCGGCAAUAUUCAUAACCUCAUCCCUUACAGCAUAAUAACAAAUCAGCAUGCAGAUGUUGUUUAAUUGGAGGCAGCCGUAGUCCACACAUUAGUAGUGGAAGGAAGAUUAAAGGAAUGUAGGUGUACAUCAUUUAAAAAGGGAACAGUGCAGGGUUUAAAAAGGAACUGUGUGGGAGCGUGUAGGAGGUCCUGCUCGUUCAUUUGUUUGUUGUGUGCGGUGUGCAUUCAUUGUUGCUGCUACUUAGCCUCAGCUGACCUGCUGAUGUAAUAUUAGUUCCUUCUCCUUCUCACACUCAUCCAGUCGUGUUCUGUUAUCUCCUGUUAGAUAUCUCUGACUGACACACGUUCACACAAUAAGUGUAUGCACUCAUAAGAACACACACACAGGCAACACAUUGUGUCCUAAUACUGUGUAUCAUUUUUUUUUACUAAUAAACUUACCAAGUCACA